GGAGCCACAGUCCCUGGAAAACAUCAACACUUUGACAGUUUCUUCCAGCCAACCGCUCUGAACAUAACAGUUUCUUCCAGUCAUCUAAUCAGAAAUUAAGUGUGUCUACAAACCAGAGCACGGAAUCUCUUAAUCUCAUUUUGCAGAGCAAUUGUCCAUCAGGACAUCAGUAUUUAGACUAAUAUUGUCCUCUGAAUUUUUCUAAUCUAACCAUUUCAAAAUUAUGAGCUAGGAUAGAAUAAUAAUAGUAUUUUUGGCAGUCACUGUCAGUAGAUGAUUAUUCCUGGAUUCUAUUUCAUUCCUUUACAUUACCAUAGGUAAAGAUCAUGCCUACAUCUGUCUAUAUCAAAAUGUUGCCAGCAGGUGCUUGUCUGCCAUGUUAAGUAUUCUUUGGUACCACGCAAUACUGAGUUUUAGCAAAACAGUAAGUAUUCUUAACUGUGUGUGUGUUACAGAUAGAGUAAAGAGAAUGGUCUUGAAAACAAACAUAAAUUUAAAAAUAAUGCAGUGCUUGGAUUCUGUCAAAACUGCUCAAUGGAAUUUCACUCUUCAGCUUCACUUUUUCUACCAACAAAAUCCAAAAUGGAUGAGAGUCAAAGCAUUUAUGAAUAGUAAAGAAACAUUUAACAGCACAGUGUGAGAUGAUAACUCAUGCCCUAAAACGUAUGUUCCACAAGAAAAAGUAAAAAGGAAUUCAUUUCUCUGCAAGGAGUUACUUUUAAGGCAUUGAGCAAUGCAGAUGAAUGAGAAUAGAUAACUGCUGUUUUUUCAGAGGCAUUUUUUAAAAAAGGAGAAAAUAAAAGAAAAAUUGUCAUCAUUGGAAGAAAAAUUCCUGUCCCAGUUUCAAAUGCCCUGAUAGGUAUUUCAGGCAUGCAAAAGAUGAGUAAUUGUGUCUCGUGCUUUCAAAGCCAGUACUGGGAGAUGUAUAUACUUUCUGUCACAGCAGAGAAGAUAAUCACAAAACUUGAAGGGUACUGUGAACGUUUGAGACAUUGGUAUUCGUAAGUGAUAUAGAUCAAUAAUAUUCUGUAGGUGUGUUUUUCUGAAUCAUCAUGAAUUUCAGUAGACAGAAUGUAAUUUAUUAGUGGAUAAACACAUGUAAAUGGCUCCUGACAAAGCAGAAGAAAACCUUGCAGUUACUUAGCUCAGCAACAGUUGUAGCCUGUGAAAGCUGAGUGGUGGGAAUGAAGAAUUCUUCAAAUGAAAGAGGACAAAAGAAGGAAAAGAAGAAGAAAAAGAAGAAGGAAAAUGAAAGGGAAAGCAAAAGGGAAAGGAAAAGGGAGAGGGAAAGAAAAAAGAGAACGAAAAAGAGAAAAAGAAAGAAAAAAAAAGAGAAAAAAAAAAGAGAAAGAAGGAAAGAGAAAGAAGGAAAGGAAGAAAAGAGAAAGAAGGAAAGGAAGAAAAGAGAAAGAAGGAAAGGAAGAAAGAAAGGAGGCCGGAAAGGAGAAGAAAAGGAUGAAAGGAGGAAAGGGAAGGGAAGUAAAAAGGAAAAAGGAAGAAGAGGGCAGAGGAAGGGUGGAGCAGGGAGGAGUUAGUUUUAUUAACUCAUUGAAUAAGAACAUUUCCUUAAGGAAAUAUCUAUGGAAACAUAGCCAGAACAUCUCUGUAUUACUCCUUAUUGGAAAAUUUAACAGCUCCUUAGGGACAGUUUGGAGUGUGAAAAUUAGGAAUCUGUCACUAUGCUUUGCAUAGUGUUUGAACAGUUACUAAGUACUUAGAGAAACUUUUAUGGAAUGCCUGCAGAAGCCUGUCUUAUUAUUUCUCAACUGCUCUCUGCAGUUUCUGACAGAUUGAAAAUGCUACUGAUUACAGAAUAAUCCCAACUUAAGAGAAGAUCUAGUAGUAGGAUAAAACGUCCAUAAAAAAUCCCUUAAUACAGAUAUGUGAAGUGAAACCAAAAACCAUGUAUCAAAAAGGAAAAUAUAGUUAUUGUUAUCACAUCUGUCAAAGGAAUUACCCUGUUUCAGUGAAACUCUUUUGCAGUAGUUCCUGUAAUAAAGGAUCUAAAGGAUGGCUCCAGGAAGAGAUCAACUUGUUAACAGAACACCGUGUAUUGACUGUGUUCAAAAAGUCUGUAUAUUCUGCAAAUCCCCAUUGUAACACACCCUCUGCUAUUGUAAGAACAGUAGUUCCUGUGGUGAGUAUUUGACUCCACUAUGAACUGUAUCUUUUGCACUACAAGACUUCAAAGUUAGCCACUUCAGAGAAAAGAAAUGGAAAUACUUUCCCUUUAACUCUGUGCUUGACUGUUUAAUGAAGAGUGCUGUCUUUAAAAGGUCAGUGAAGAAAUAGAGGCAGAAAGUGUCUGCUUUAUCUAACAAGAUAAAGCCUGUCUUUUUAAUAUUUAAAAAUAUUUAACAAGUUUAUUCUGGUGAUAUUGCAAGUAUAAACCAAUCUUUCCAUAAAUAAGUAGUAGCUCAAGCCUUUCAUCAUUUACAUUAUGUUGGAAUUUGAGCAACCCUGCUGAAGGCCACAAUCAUGUUGGGCUGCCUGAUACUACAUUUAAGCCUGGGCUUCCAGCUUCUGUAGUAUUUUCCUAAACCUACAGAAGAAAAAGAGGUGCUUUGUUUGCUCCUUCAUGCUCUUCCCCUUCUCUACAAAAGAAAGGAUUGGGGAUUAUCUAGAUUUAGUUUGCUGUGGUUCAGUACUCAGCAAAAGUGGGCAUUUGCUGGGUGCUUGACCUUUGCCUUGUCAUUUUCUAAUAGAAAAAUAAAGAAAGCAUAAGGAGGACAUUUAUGUAGGAGCUGUAAACUGUUGGCUUGCGCUUUUUAUACAUGUAUUUAACAUUCUUGUUUUACAACCUUAACUCUCCCAAAAGAAUUUUUAACAAUUACUAGAUGUGAGCAGUUGCCACGUGCUGUUUGUGAUGGAAGGUGGAAAAUGGCUACAGAAAAAUGUUCUUGUUAAUGAAGGAUGGACACUGAGCUCUAUGUCAACAAACAUCUGGGGCAAGUUUGACAAAUCUUUUUAGAAACCCAAAGUUCUAAAAAUUAGAGCACCACUCACAGAAUCACAGAAUCGUAUGGAUUGGAAGGGACCUCUGGAGAUCGUCUAGUUCAGCUCCUGCUAAAGCAGAUUCCCUCCAGUAGGUUACAAAGGAAAGUGUCCAGGUUUCCUUCAUGAGGACAGGCAUCCUGAAACUCUUCCUAAAGGUGCACAAGAACCAUGCAAAUACAGCGUCAAGUUUUCUACGAGCAAGGAGGGGCAUGAGUCACUACACUGAAGGUGGAAUGAUGUAUGAUAUAAAAAGAAAGCUCAGAUAAGAUGAGAGAAGUUCUAACAGCAGAUUCAAAGGAAGAAUUUGUAAAGAGAAGUGAUACUUAGCUCAUAGAAGAGGGCAGUUUUAUGAAUUGAUCACCACAUUGCAAAUAACAUUUUCCCAUGUAAAUGUUUCUAUCUUUGUCUUAUAAGAACACGUAACUUUCAGAAUCUUUUGUGAUUGGUCUUAGAGCAGGUUUCAUUUCCAUUCCACCUUUGAGCAUAGUCCACACACAACUCUUCAAGAUAAUGUGGUUUUGCUCACAUAGUAAUUAAUAAAAAAAAAAACCUUUUAAUUUCAUCUUUCCUGGUACUGUUUUCUUUUUUUCUUCAUAAAAAAAUUCCUCUACCUUUCAGUUAUCUAAAAAGUUAGGUAAAAAAUCAGUUCUGAAUCUAAAUAGGUUUUCCUAAGGGAGAUUCCAGCCACAUAUAACAACUUUAUUUUUAUCUUCUCUAUGUGCGCAGUGAAGACUGAAAUCUAAAGAAUGACAAAGAAAUACAAUCCCGUAACAUUUGUAAUCAUAGUUAUUGAAAGGCUAUUGAAAGGCUUAUACAAUGUACAAGAACCAGUUUUCAUAAGGUAGUUAUUUCUGUAACCUCUCCUCACUAAAACUCAUUUUUAAUAUAGGCCAUGCAACUUGCGUUACCCAGUGAAUUCUGGGACAGGACCUUAUAUUUACCACUAUCAUGCUAAUAAAUAUUGCUUGCAAUAAAUAUAUGUACUUUCUUCAUUGUCCCCCUCAGCUAUCUAAAUUGUAGCAAAUUGUGUAUAAAUCAAAUAUAAGAUAUACAUUUUUGGGACAUGGAGAACUGACACAAA
Long non-coding RNA from Lagopus muta (rock ptarmigan), 4078 nucleotides. RefSeq lists it as uncharacterized. Lineage: Eukaryota; Metazoa; Chordata; Aves; Galliformes; Phasianidae. The record is from RefSeq and is a predicted model, not a curated record. The transcript is spliced from 3 exons.